Molecule: ribosomal RNA, 255 nt
Filed under: uncultured bacterium
Lineage: Bacteria
Description: partial 16S ribosomal RNA
Rfam family: Bacterial small subunit ribosomal RNA
Source: RNAcentral
UACGUAGGCAGCGAGCGUUGUUCGGAAUUACUGGGCGUAAAGAGUGUGUAGGCGGUGCUCUAAGUUCGGUGUGAAAUCUCCUGCUUAACUGGGAGGGUGCGCCGGAAACUGGGGUGCUCGAGCGUGGGAGAGGAAAGCAGGAAUUCCUGGUGUGAGCGGUGGAAAUGCGUAGAUAUCAGGAGGAACACCUGUGGUGUAGACAGCUUUCUGGACCAUUGCUGACGCUGAGACACGAAAGCGUGGGUAGCAAACAGG